RNAcentral lists this ribosomal RNA (253 nucleotides) under uncultured bacterium. RNAcentral's name for it is "partial 16S ribosomal RNA". It matches the Rfam family "Bacterial small subunit ribosomal RNA", at positions 524 to 776 of the family's 1533-position model. The record is from RNAcentral.
UACGUAGGUGACAAGCGUUGUCCGGAUUUACUGGGCGUAAAGAGCGCGCAGGCGGUCGUUCAAGUCGAGUGUGAAAGCCCCCGGCUCAACUGGGGAGGGUCACUCGAUACUGAUCGACUCGAAGGCAGGAGAGGGUAGUGGAAUUCCCGGUGUAGUGGUGAAAUGCGUAGAUAUCUGGAGGAACACCCGUGGCGAAAGCGAGUUACUGGGACGGUACUGACACUGAGGAACGAAAGCCUGGGGAGCGAAAGGG